ACAUGGCUCAGGAUGAACGCCGGCGGUGUGCCUAAUACAUGCAAGUCGAACGCGUUGGCCCAAUUGAUUGAUGGUGCUUGCACCUGAUUGAUUUUGGUCGCCAACGAGUGGCGGACGGGUGAGUAACACGUAGGUAACCUGCCCAGAAGCGGGGGACAACAUUUGGAAACAGAUGCUAAUACCGCAUAACAACGUUGUUCGCAUGAACAACGCUUAAAAGAUGGCUUCUCGCUAUCACUUCUGGAUGGACCUGCGGUGCAUUAGCUUGUUGGUGGGGUAAUGGCCUACCAAGGCGAUGAUGCAUAGCCGAGUUGAGAGACUGAUCGGCCACAAUGGGACUGAGACACGGCCCAUACUCCUACGGGAGGCAGCAGUAGGGAAUCUUCCACAAUGGGCGCAAGCCUGAUGGAGCAACACCGCGUGAGUGAAGAAGGGUUUCGGCUCGUAAAGCUCUGUUGUUAAAGAAGAACACGUAUGAGAGUAACUGUUCAUACGUUGACGGUAUUUAACCAGAAAGUCACGGCUAACUACGUGCCAGCAGCCGCGGUAAUACGUAGGUGGCAAGCGUUAUCCGGAUUUAUUGGGCGUAAAGAGAGUGCAGGCGGUUUUCUAAGUCUGAUGUGAAAGCCUUCGGCUUAACCGGAGAAGUGCAUCGGAAACUGGAUAACUUGAGUGCAGAAGAGGGUAGUGGAACUCCAUGUGUAGCGGUGGAAUGCGUAGAUAUAUGGAAGAACACCAGUGGCGAAGGCGGCUACCUGGUCUGCAACUGACGCUGAGACUCGAAAGCAUGGGUAGCGAACAGGAUUAGAUACCCUGGUAGUCCAUGCCGUAAACGAUGAGUGCUAGGUGUUGGAGGGUUUCCGCCCUUCAGUGCCGGAGCUAACGCAUUAAGCACUCCGCCUGGGGAGUACGACCGCAAGGUUGAAACUCAAAGGAAUUGACGGGGGCCCGCACAAGCGGUGGAGCAUGUGGUUUAAUUCGAAGCUACGCGAAGAACCUUACCAGGUCUUGACAUCUUGCGCCAACCCUAGAGAUAGGGCGUUUCCUUCGGGAACGCAAUGACAGGUGGUGCAUGGUCGUCGUCAG
This 1086-nucleotide ribosomal RNA is filed under the name Limosilactobacillus fermentum. RNAcentral's name for it is "bacterial SSU rRNA". It matches the Rfam family "Bacterial small subunit ribosomal RNA", at positions 17 to 1058 of the family's 1533-position model. The record is from RNAcentral. Lineage: Bacteria; Bacillati; Bacillota; Bacilli; Lactobacillales; Lactobacillaceae.